GUUUAGAGUGAGAUGUUUAGAGUGAGGUGUGAUGUUUAGAGUGAGCUGUUUAGAGUGAGAUGUGAUGUUUAGAGUGAGAUGUUUAGAGUGAGGUGUGAUGUUUGGAGUGAGAUGUUUGGAGUGAGGUGUUUAGAGUGAGGUGUUUAGAGUGAGGUGUGAUGUUUGGAGUGAGAUGUUUAGAGUGAGGUGUUUAGAGUGAGGUGUUUAGAGUGAGGUGUGAUGUUUAGAGUGAGAUGUUUAGAGUGAGGUGUAUGGAGUGAGGUGUGAGAUGUUUAGAGUGAGAUGUUUAGAGUGAGGUGUGAUGUUUAGAGUGAGAUGUUUAGAGUGAGGUGUGAUGUUUGGAGUGAGAUGUUUAGAGUGAGGUGUAGAGUGAG
This is a long non-coding RNA of Ictalurus punctatus (channel catfish), 374 nucleotides long. NCBI's taxonomy places the organism in Eukaryota, Metazoa, Chordata, Actinopteri, Siluriformes, Ictaluridae. The record is from Ensembl.